CACCUCCCCUCCGCUGGUUUUUCCGUCGCGGCAGAACCAAUCCCUCGCUAGCCCUACCUCGUCUCCCGUCUCCAGUCGCAGCCGCCGCCGCACCCCAAUCCAACCCCGCCGCCGGCGAUCUCCUCGCCCCCCUGCGCCGCCGCCCCCAACCUUCUAUUCUUCUCCCAAGGGAAUCCCAAGGGAAGGGAAGGGAAGGCAAGGGAAGGGAAGGGAGAGGGAGCGCCCAGAUCCACGGCGGCAUCAGCGCGCCGUCGUCACCUGAUCCGCGUCCGUCCUCGAGGGAGGUCGGCCAUGGAGGUCCGACCCAGCCCGGCAGCAGCCAUGGACGGACGGAGAUGCCCCAAACCCUACCCUCAAGGACGACGCCUCAACCUUCAAGGACGCGCGCCGGCGACCGCGGAUCUCCGGUGACGGCUAUGGAUGACUGCCCCGGAUCUGGACGCACAACCUGCAGCUGCAGCAGCAGCUGGACGACCGCUUAUGUCCUGGAUUUCAUCUUUUCUCCUUUCUCUGAUUUACUCAUACACAACUCCUGACUUGCUGCAUGUGGCUGCUGAAUCUUCCUACUGCAGGUGUGCCUUACACAUGUUCGUUGAGUUGCUUAAUGACAUAAAAAUUUUUUGAAACCUGGAGUUAUGCAACUGCAGCAACAAGGACGGAUGGCCAUCUUCACAGGUUUUGCAAGUAAUUGAAGCGCUUUUUGAGUAGAGGAUAAUUAGAGAUAUAAAGUUCUACCUCAGAUCUUGGGGAAUUAAUCCAUCUCGCUGUACUACCAACUCCGUCGGCCGCUCCUGCUCCAUACGCACAAUCUCGUCGAUGUACCAGAUUUCUUUAAGACCCACUGAAUAUUAGACGGACGUGCUCUACCUUGGCCUCAAGGGUGUUCAUCUACUUGUUGCCGUGCUCUGGAAUCUGGACGAUGCACUAAUGCAGUGAGCACAAGCCUGCAACCUUGAAGGAAAAUCCAUUGCCGCUGAUGACAUGAUACUAUGGGUGACAGGCAUCUUGGCAGCCGCCACUAGAGCAACACAUCCCUGAGCGAGCAGAUGAUGCAUAGGGGCACCUAUGGAAGAAGAGGUCGGGGAUGGUAGACAAGGGCGUGGACGCCGGUGCGGGCUCCUUAAAGCCUUCGAGGAGGAUGUCGCGGUCGGGCCCGGGGGCGGCUGCACUAGAGACACCAUGGUCAUUGCAUUCUAACAGUAUCUGCAUGAGCAGAGAAGACCAAGACCAAGUGAAGGUCACAUGGACGUGUGAAUCAGUGGGCAAGCCUCAUUUUUCUUCUAUACAUUAGAGCAGCCCAAGAUACUUGGCAUCCGUGAGACCCAUAGAUCAGCUAGGUAAGUACAAAGCUACCAAUUUUCAUGUACCUAUGUGAGUUUUGUGAUGUUUCCCUAAUAGAACAGAAGCAUCCUACUUAUCAGUCUAAGUAAGUUUGUGAGUUGAUCCACUGCUGAAAACAAUUCAGUUGAACAUGUUUGUUCCAACAGUUUUGAAUGUACAUGAAUGUACAUAUGCAGUUUGAUUCCAUGUGAAGCCCUGGACAAAUAGCACAUGUAUCACAUGGGCGGCCCAGAGGUACCAUCUGUGUUGCGGUGCUGGUGCAGCGUCACAACAUGAUGGUGCCUAAGGCUGAGCCAAUGCAAGCAAACACAAAAUAGUGAAGUGGAACUAAAAUAGGUAUUUGGGGGAACAUCAGUUGUAAGUUAUUCUCCAUGUCCACUCUUCUUCCUUUUAGCUACUUUAUCCCCUCCCUUGAAAUUUUAUGGGCUGCUGGGUGCAAUUCUCCUUAUAAUACCGAGACUCAUACAAUAUGUAUUUGUUGGUGAAUUCUGCUGUUCUGGAGGUCCGCGGAUGUGUUUAUUCAAAGCUUUGAUGAGAAAUUUUGAUCAUUGUUGUUCAUCGGUGUCCAAUUAGGUUUAGUUUUAGAAAUCUCGAAUAUGUAUUUAUAAAAUAUUCAGAUGGAACAACUCAGAUUAAACUAUCUAAAAAUUCUGGGCCCCCUCUAUAAUAGUUGCAUGAAUAGAAGUGAGGAGACUGAGUGUUAGUAGGUCAUAAGUACCUUACUAUAUUCCCCUUCAUUACUGCUUUGUUUUGGUUGAACACCUCGCAACCGUCGCUCCUCCAAGUCUGAACUCCACCGCCGUGGCUCGUAUGACACAUCGGUGAUAAUGUGUUUGGUUGUAAUUGUACACCACACACGUAAUCAUGAGUAUGUCUUUCCUGUGGCACCAGAGUUCCAAUUUUGUUGUAGAUUUAUCUUUUUCACGAAUCCGUUGUACAAAUGUUCAUUGGUUGGAGGAACAGGAGUGAAUUCCUGGUUUAAAAAAUUGAUAAUGUCGAUUGAUGUGCAUGAUGAUCCUCCAUGUAUAAUAUGUAUGCCCCGGUUCCGGUAUUUUUCUUAAGUUAACUGUUGGUCAGUUCGCCAAGAAGCUUUGUAUUCCUGUUAACUAUUCCUUUGGGCAACACUAGCUUUUCUUUUGUUUCUCCAACCUAUUUCAUAAUGUAAACAAUUUUCACACUAACUCUUAAAAUUUUGGAUGACUUCGUUUCAGAUCUUCAGCCUCAAUUGGUUGGCCCAUUUAUGCUUUGCAAGAUUUAUUUAUGCCGUUUCCUCCCAAGAGUAAUAAUUUCGGUUUCAGAUGUGCUAAAAUUCUCAUCGUCACAAACCUUUCAAGGUAUCCAAUAUUACACUCAUUUUGUUUCAGCAUAAUCCUAUAUAUACUCUGCUAUUUUUAUGUUAAACAUAUAUGCUUGCUCUCCUCGGAAGUUAAUUGCUCUAGACAAGCAGCAAUAGACAUUUUUUAAUGUCCUACUUACGUGCAAAUUUUCGUCAAGAGAAAACAUUCAUAAUGCACAAUAAUUUAAAAUAAAUUUUUCAUUGAGAGAAAAGGUAAAAUAAAAUCAGUGUUGUUUUCUCACAGUAAGUUAGUUGGAGAUGAAUUGGGAUGACUCGGGCAUUACAACGAACAGUUUGUAAAUGAUGUACCGGCCAGCUGACUUGUGUAUCUUGCAGUGUCGGCGUCAUACUUCUGUACAUAGAAGGAUGGAUUCAGUAACAAUCACUUGAAUAGUUCUACUAAUUUGGGUUUCCUGUAUACGUACCUUGACCCUUUGUUCCUCUACACCAGCAAUGCUUGAGGAUUCACUGGAUGUAUUGAGAUCAAAUUUUGGAUGCCAAUUUGGAUACUCAGAUUACACGACCAUCUGUGCAUGCAUAGAUGAGAUGUUUUUUCAUGGAAUGUUUUGACGUAUGGUGGUUUUUCAUACACUCUUUUCAUUUUUUAUUUGGCUAGGGUGAACAAUACUAUUUAGGUGAUUGUGAAAAUGCAGGCUACAGUAUUAAAUUUUCAUAAGGUUUGUGAAAAUACAAUUUUCUACACUAAGGAUGUGCCCAGCUUC
Triticum aestivum (bread wheat) is the source of this 3399-nucleotide long non-coding RNA. RefSeq lists it as uncharacterized. The transcript has 7 exons. The record is from RefSeq and is a predicted model, not a curated record. NCBI's taxonomy places the organism in Eukaryota, Viridiplantae, Streptophyta, Magnoliopsida, Poales, Poaceae.